This 1597-nucleotide long non-coding RNA is filed under the name Monodelphis domestica (gray short-tailed opossum). RNAcentral's name for it is "lncRNA (ENSMODG00000044578.1)". The record is from RNAcentral. Lineage: Eukaryota; Metazoa; Chordata; Mammalia; Didelphimorphia; Didelphidae.
AUGUAUUUUGAACUGCUGGAGGCCUCUCGCAUUUGUCCCCUGAACUGCUCUUCCACGUGCUUGGCAGCCUGUCAGAGGGAAGUCUCUGUCUCCCCCCCAUCUCUGUGUCUCCCCCUCUUCUCUCUCUUCUCUCUCUCUCCCUCUCUGUCUCUCUGUCUCCCCCCCAUCUCUCUGUCUCUCUCUCUCUCUCUCUCUCUCUGUCUCUCUCUCUCCUCUCUCUUUCUCUCUCCCUCUCUCUCUCUGUCUCUCCCUCCCUCUCCCUCUCCAUCUCUCUCUCUCUCCUCUCUGUCUUUCUCUCUCUCUCUCUGUCUCUACCUCUCUCUCUCUGUAUCUCUCUCUGUCUCUCUCUCUGUCUCUGUCUUUCUCUCUCUUCAUCUCUCUCUGUCUCUCUGUCUCUGUCUCUCUCUGUCUUUCUCUCUCUCUGUCUCUCUUCCUCUCUCUUUCUCUCUCCCUCUCUCCCUCUCUCUCCCUCCCCCUCUCUCUCUGUCUCUCUCUCUGUCUCUCUCUCUCUCUUCUCUCUCUCUCCUCUCUCUUUCUCUCUCCCUCUCUCCCUCUCCCUGUCUCUCUCUCCUCUUUCCCUUUCUUUCUCUCUCUGUCUCUCUCUCUUUCUCUCUUCUGUCUCCAUCUCCCUCUCCCUCAGCCUGUCUCUCUCUCCUUCUCUUUCCCUUUCUUUCUCUCUCUUCUGUCUCCAUCUCUCUCUCCCUCAGCCUGUCUCUCUCUCCUUCUCUUUCCCUUUCUUUCUCUCUCUUCUGUCUCCAUCUCUCUCUCCCUCUCCCUCAGCCUGUCUCUUUCUCUCUCUUCUAUCUCCAUCUCUCUCUCCCUCAGCCUGAUCUCUUUCUCUCUCUUCUAUCUCCAUCUCUCUCUCCCUCAGCCUGUCUCUCUCUCCUCUUUCCCUUUCUUUCUCUCUCUGUCUCUCUCUCUCUUUCUCUCUCUUCUGUCUCCAUCUCUCUCUCCCUCAGCCUGUCUCUCUCUCCUCUUUCCCUUUCUUUCUCUCUCUGUCUCUCUCUCUCUUUCUCUCUCUUCUGUCUCCAUCUCUCUCUCCCUCAGCCUGUCUCUCUCUCCUCUUUCCCUUUCUUUCUCUCUCUCUUUCUCUCUUCUGUCUCCAUCUCUCUCUCCCUCUCCCUCAGCCUGUCUCUUUCUCUCUCUUCUAUCUCCAUCUCUCUCUCCCUCAGCCUGUCUCUUUCUCUCUCUUCUAUCUCCAUCUCUCUCUCCCUCAGCCUGUCUCUCUCUCCUCUUUCCCUUUCUUUCUCUCUCUGUCUCUCUCUCUCUUUCUCUCUCUUCUGUCUCCAUCUCUCUCUCCCUCAGCCUGUCUCUCUCUCCUCUUUCCCUUUCUUUCUCUCUCUGUCUCUCUCUCUCUUUCUCUCUCUUCUGUCUCCAUCUCUCUCUCCCUCAGCCUCUCUGUCUCUCCUUCCUCUUUCCUGUCUCUGUCCUUCCUCUUCUGUCUCUCUUCCAUUUCUCUCUGUCUCUCCUUCCUCUUUCCUCUGUCUCUGUCCUUCCUCUUCUGUCUCUCUUCCAUUUCUCUCCCUGUGUCUCCCCCUCCUCUUUCCUGUCUGUCCUCCCUCUUCUGUCUCUCUUCCAUUUCUCUCCCUGUGUCUCU